GUGGGCGGAUUUUCCUGGUCGCGUGUCUCCAGUGUCGCGCUCCAGCUCCCACAAUCCGCGUGCAUCCUCACUUUCUGCCUUCCGCCGUCUUCGAGUCUCUGCCACGUUGUCCAUGUCUGCGCUCCACUGUGAGGCACAUCAUGUCCCUUGUUCCACAUCUAUCAGAGGGGCCCUCAGUCUGGACUGUGAAGUCCCAGAGCACUGCUCAGCUCUGGCUUAUGGUGGUACAGGGGAUUGAACCUGGAACUUUGGAGCCUCAGGUCAACUUUGCAUCUGGAGACCAUUGAAGAAAGUGCCAAGGUCAUGAGUUGGUGAUCGUUCGGGUGCCAUGGAUCAGCAUUUACUGAGAUCUUGCCAUAAGCAAGAUUCUUUUGGUGACACCAGAGGGGCAGGAAGAAGAGUGAGACUAUCACAUGAAGCAUUGUUAGUGCUCCUCUCUGUUGCCUGCUCAGAACAUCAUGGAACAAUUUGUUGAUUCUGCUCAAGAAAUCAGCUGGAACUGGAGAUUGGAGACUUGGCAUUCACUUCAGCUGGAUGAGUCUUGACAACAGUGUGCUUAAAGGCUGUUGUGCAGGGAAGGCCAGCCGCAUGCCCUGUGCCCAUGCUUGCAGUGACUUACCAAGAGCUCUUCUCUUGAAUUUGUAACUAGCUGCUCCCCACUAACACAGUCAAAUAAACUUUACAAACCUA
Molecule: long non-coding RNA, 690 nt
Organism: Erinaceus europaeus (western European hedgehog)
Lineage: Eukaryota; Metazoa; Chordata; Mammalia; Eulipotyphla; Erinaceidae
Exons: 5
Source: RefSeq, a predicted model, not a curated record